This 484-nucleotide ribosomal RNA is filed under the name uncultured bacterium. RNAcentral's name for it is "partial 16S ribosomal RNA". It matches the Rfam family "Bacterial small subunit ribosomal RNA", at positions 29 to 507 of the family's 1533-position model. The record is from RNAcentral.
AUUGAACGCUGGCGGCAUGCUUUACACAUGCAAGUCGAACGGCAGCGCGGGCUUCGGCCUGGAGGCGAGUGGCGAACGGGUGAGUAAUGCAUUGGAACGUGCCCAGUAGUGGGGGAUAGCCCGGCGAAAGCCGGAUUAACACCGCAUACGACCUGAGGGUGAAAGCGGGGGACCGAAAGGCCUCGCGCUAUUGGAGCGGCCGAUGUCGGAUUAGCUAGUUGGUGGGGUAAAGGCUUACCAAGGCGACGAUCCGUAGCUGGUCUGAGAGGACGACCAGCCACACUGGGACUGAGACACGGCCCAGACUCCUACGGGAGGCAGCAGUGGGGAAUUUUGGACAAUGGGGGCAACCCUGAUCCAGCCAUGCCGCGUGCGGGAAGAAGGCCUUCGGGUUGUAAACCGCUUUUGUUCGGGAAGAAAUCCUCUGGGCUAAUACCCCGGGGGGAUGACGGUACCGGAAGAAUAAGCACCGGCUAACUACGUG